RNAcentral lists this ribosomal RNA (426 nucleotides) under uncultured bacterium. RNAcentral describes it as "bacterial SSU rRNA". It matches the Rfam family "Bacterial small subunit ribosomal RNA", at positions 354 to 796 of the family's 1533-position model. The record is from RNAcentral.
GUAAGGAAUAUUGCGCAAUGGGGGAAACCCUGACGCAGCAACGCCGCGUGGAGGAUGACACUUUUCGGAGCGUAAACUCCUUUUAUCAGGAAAGAAUAAUGACGGUACCUGAUGAAUAAGCACCGGCUAACUCCGUGCCAGCAGCCGCGGUAAUACGGGGGGUGCAAGCGUUACUCGGAAUCACUGGGCGUAAAGGACGCGUAGGCGGAUUAUCAAGUCUUUUGUGAAAUCUAGUGGCUUAACCACUAAACUGCUUAGGAAACUGAUAGUCUAGAGUAGGGGAGAGGUAGAUGGAAUUCUUGGUGUAGGGGUAAAAUCCGUAGAGAUCAAGAAGAAUACCCAUUGCGAAAGCGAUCUGCUGGAACCUAACUGACGCUGAGGCGUGAAAGCGUGGGUAGCAAACAGGAUUAGAAACCCUAGUAGUCC